Molecule: non-coding RNA, 146 nt
Organism: Mesorhizobium loti
Lineage: Bacteria; Pseudomonadati; Pseudomonadota; Alphaproteobacteria; Hyphomicrobiales; Phyllobacteriaceae
Source: Rfam
GCCCGACGUUAAGACUUCAUUAAGCUUUACAGGCGUUUACUACGCGCAUCCAGUUUGUCUGGAUUCUUACCGAGUGGUUGGAGCCACUUUGUUUGACGCCUCCCUGUUAAACUCCUGAGAGCCGCCUUAUCCGCGGCUCUUUUUUU